Molecule: ribosomal RNA, 877 nt
Filed under: uncultured eukaryote
Lineage: Eukaryota
Description: SSU rRNA
Rfam family: Eukaryotic small subunit ribosomal RNA
Source: RNAcentral
CGGUGUUCAACUGGCGUGUCCGCGGGACGUCCUGCCGGUGGGCUUAGCCCGCAAGGGCGGCCCAACUUCAAAUCCCAUCGCGGUGCUCUUCACUGAGUGUCGAGGUGGGCCGGCACGUUUACUUUGAACAAAUUAGAGUGCUUAAAGCAGGCUAAAACUUCGCCUGAAUACUGUGUGCAUGGAAUAAUGGAAUAGGACCUCGGUUCUAUUUUGUUGGUUUUCGGAACCCCGAGGUAAUGAUUAAUAGGAACGGAUGGGGGCAUUCGUAUUGCGACGUUAGAGGUGAAAUUCUUGGAUCGUCGCAAGACGGACAGAAGCGAAAGCAUUUGCCAAAAACGCUUUCAUUGAUCAAGAACGAAAGUUAGAGGUUCGAAGGCGAUCAGAUACCGCCCUAGUUCUAACCAUAAACGAUGCCAGCUAGCGAUCCGUCGACGUUCCUCCGAUGACUCGACGGGCAGCUUCCGGGAAACCAAAGCUUUUGGGUUCCGGGGGAAGUAUGGUUGCAAAGCUGAAACUUAAAGGAAUUGACGGAAGGGCACCACCAGGAGUGGAGCCUGCGGCUUAAUUUGACUCAACACGGGAAACCUCACCAGGCCCGGACACCGGAAGGAUUGACAGAUUGAGAGCUCUUUCUUGAUUCGGUGGGUGGUGGUGCAUGGCCGUUCUUAGUUGGUGGAGCGAUUUGUCUGGUUAAUUCCGAUAACGAACGAGACUCUAGCCUGCUAACUAGGCGUAUUUUCGACAUCUCAAAGGUCCGUCGUCCCGGCCCUCGGGUCGUGGGCGUGCGCGAUUUUUACUAUCGGCGUACUAUCAAUUCUUCUUAGAGGAACAGGUGGCUUCUAGCCGCACGAGAUUGAGCAAUAACAGGUCUGUGAUG